This is a long non-coding RNA of Daphnia magna, 305 nucleotides long. RefSeq lists it as uncharacterized. The record is from RefSeq and is a predicted model, not a curated record. The transcript has 2 exons. NCBI's taxonomy places the organism in Eukaryota, Metazoa, Arthropoda, Branchiopoda, Diplostraca, Daphniidae.
UGUGGUCAUCAGCUGCGGGCAAGUCAACAUCUCUGCGGGCCACGUAGAGAUUCACUAUAUGACUCGAUCUGGGCGAGUCCUUUUCUUUCACUUUAUAGUUACCAGCAUGAAAAUCUCCAUACCAACAAGCAGGUUCCCAUCAAGAUGGCAUCUACAGGGAUGAUACAGGAAGGCUAUCCUUACAUGCAAAUUUGGCGGAAUCACAUUUUGAUUUACGAUUGCUUAUUAGUCUCUUUUAAGCUUCCGAUUUAUGGUGAUGCAGAUUUAUUAACAAUAAAGCAUAAAGGAUGAUUUCGCAUGUUCCU